RNAcentral lists this long non-coding RNA (924 nucleotides) under Ananas comosus (pineapple). RNAcentral describes it as "long non-coding RNA (ACOM_LNC038346)". Lineage: Eukaryota; Viridiplantae; Streptophyta; Magnoliopsida; Poales; Bromeliaceae. The record is from RNAcentral.
UGAGGGCACUAUAUAUUUUUAUUCUUAUGAAAUUAAGAUUUAUUUUGGUAAAUAUAAUAUAUUAGAUUGUUUAAAAAGUUAUGUAUAAAAAUAUUUAGUUAAAAACUUGUUAGUUAGGUUUCAAAUAUUUUAUAAUUAAUGAUAUCAAAGAAAAUAUUUUUUAAUAGAAAUAAGUGCGUAAGUUUAUAGCUUUUUAUAUGUAGUCCAUAUAUUAGACAGAAAAGAAAUGAACUAAGGGUGCGUUUGGUUCGCGCUAUCUUUUAAAGAUUCCUAGUAAUCCAAUGGGAAUAAAAAAAUAUGACGGUAUUUGGCUAAACGCAUUAAGUAAUCUAGUUGGUAAUAUUGGAUUCACUUGGGAAUAAGAUUCACUCCAAAGUACUAAUCUCAUUCCCUUGAGGGAGGGUGGGUAUUCUCAUAUUAAUGGAUUGGGGUAAUCAUAAUAUGACUAAUCUCUUUCUUUUUUCCUAUCCGCUGGCUAAUUGAUAUUAUUUUUCUUUACACUCUAAUCUUAUAUCUCUCUCUAAAUUUAUUUUUCUCUCUAAAAUUCAACUUUUUUUUUCUCUCUCUAAACUAAGCUUUCUCUCUCUCUCUCUCUCUCUUUCUAAAAUUUCAACUCUCUCACUCCCUCUAAUUUCGACUAUAUUUUUCUUUCUAUUUUUUUAAUUAUGCUCUCUCUCUCUAACUUAUACUCUCUCUCCCUUUUUUCUAAAAAAAUAUUGAAACUUUUGGUAACAUUAUCUAAAAUUAGUUAAAUAAAUAAAUUAAUUAAUUGUAUAAUUUUUGUAAUAUUAAAUAACAUGGCUAAUUAAUAUUACUGUGUGAACCAAACACAGGAAUUCCACAUUCUUAGUAAUAGGAUGAAUAGUAAUAAGAUUCUCGAAUAUCUUUUAUUCCUAGUAAUCUUUUAUAAUGCGAACCAAACGC